Molecule: ribosomal RNA, 468 nt
Filed under: uncultured bacterium
Lineage: Bacteria
Description: partial 16S ribosomal RNA
Rfam family: Bacterial small subunit ribosomal RNA
Source: RNAcentral
GACGAACGCUGGCGGCGUGCUUAACACAUGCCAGUCGAACGGAAAGGCGCUGCUUUUGUGGGGUGCUCGAGUGGCGAACGCGUGAGUGACACGUGAGUAACCCGCCCUUGUAUUUGGGAUAACUUCAGGAAACUGGGGCUAAUACCGGAUAGGAGCUCCUGCUGCAUGGUGGGGGUUGGAAAGUUUCGGCGGUUGGGGAUGGACUCGCGGCUUAUCAGCUUGUUGGUGGGGUAGGCGAUUACCAAGGCUUUGACGGGUAGCCCGCCUGAGAGGGUGGCCGGGCACAUUGGGACUAAGGGACGGCCCAGACGCCUACGGGAGGCAGCAGUGGGGAAUAUUGCGCAAUGGGCGGAAGCCUGAGGCAGCAGCGCCGCGUGCGUGAUGACGUCCUUCUGGUUGUAAACCGCUGUCGCCUGUGACGAAGCGGGAGUGACGGUAAUGGGUAAAGAAGCACCGGCUAACUACGUG